This 92-nucleotide non-coding RNA is filed under the name Niallia circulans. RNAcentral's name for it is "Bacillus circulans Glycine sequence". It matches the Rfam family "Glycine riboswitch aptamer". From Rfam's summary of the family: This family represents the bacterial glycine riboswitch. Glycine riboswitches usually consist of two metabolite-binding aptamers domains with similar structures in tandem. The record is from Rfam by way of RNAcentral. Lineage: Bacteria; Bacillati; Bacillota; Bacilli; Caryophanales; Bacillaceae.
AUGAGAAAUAGGGGAGAGACUACGUUUGUAGCGCCGAAGGAGCAAGCAAUAUUAUUUGUGAAUCUCUCAGGCAAAAGAACUCUAUUUGGACG